This 228-nucleotide ribosomal RNA is filed under the name uncultured bacterium. RNAcentral's name for it is "partial 16S ribosomal RNA". It matches the Rfam family "Bacterial small subunit ribosomal RNA", at positions 568 to 795 of the family's 1533-position model. The record is from RNAcentral.
UGCGUAGGCGGUUUCUUGAGUCAGUGGUGAAAUUUUGUGGCUCAACCAUAAACGUGCCAUUGAAACUGAGAGACUUGAGUGCGGACGAGGAAGGCGGAAUGUGUUAUGUAGCGGUGAAAUGCAUAGAUAUAACACAGAACACCAAUUGCGAAGGCAGCUUUCCAGACCGUAACUGACGCUGAUGCACGAAAGCGUGGGUAGCGAACAGGAUUAGAUACCCUGGUAGUC